GGGCCCGUGGUCUAGCGGUUAUGACGUCUGCUUCACAGGUAGAAGGUCCCCGGUUCGAAUCCGGGCGGGCCCA
RNAcentral lists this transfer RNA (73 nucleotides) under Candidatus Aenigmatarchaeota archaeon. RNAcentral's name for it is "tRNA-Val". It matches the Rfam family "tRNA". From Rfam's summary of the family: Transfer RNA (tRNA) molecules are approximately 80 nucleotides in length. Their secondary structure includes four short double-helical elements and three loops (D, anti-codon, and T loops). The record is from RNAcentral. Lineage: Archaea; Nanobdellati; Candidatus Aenigmatarchaeota.